This 235-nucleotide ribosomal RNA is filed under the name uncultured bacterium. RNAcentral describes it as "partial 16S ribosomal RNA". It matches the Rfam family "Bacterial small subunit ribosomal RNA", at positions 15 to 240 of the family's 1533-position model. The record is from RNAcentral.
GAUCAUGGCUCAGGAUGAACGCUAGCGGCAGGCUUAACACAUGCAAGUCGGAGGGGCAGCAUAAUGGAUAGCAAUAUCUAUGGUGGCGACCGGCGCACGGGUGCGUAACGCGUAUGCAACCGUACCUUUAACAGGGGGAUAACACUGAGAAAUUGGUACUAAUACCCCAUAAUAUCAUAGAAGGCAUCUUUUAUGGUUGAAAAUUUCCGAUGGUUAGAGAUGGGCAUGCGUUGUA